RNAcentral lists this ribosomal RNA (497 nucleotides) under uncultured bacterium. Its description in RNAcentral is "partial 16S ribosomal RNA". It matches the Rfam family "Bacterial small subunit ribosomal RNA", at positions 28 to 507 of the family's 1533-position model. The record is from RNAcentral.
GACGAACGCUGACGGCGUGCCUAAUACAUGCAAGUUGAGCGCUGAAGGUUGGUACUUGUACCAACUGGAUGAGCAGCGAACGGGUGAGUAACGCGUGGGGAAUCUGCCUUUGAGCGGGGGACAACAUUUGGAAACGAAUGCUAAUACCGCAUAAAAACUUUAAACACAAGUUUUAAGUUUGAAAGAUGCAAUUGCAUCACUCAAAGAUGAUCCCGCGUUGUAUUAGCUAGUUGGUGAGGUAAAGGCUCACCAAGGCGAUGAUACAUAGCCGACCUGAGAGGGUGAUCGGCCACAUUGGGACUGAGACACGGCCCAAACUCCUACGGGAGGCAGCAGUAGGGAAUCUUCGGCAAUGGACGAAAGUCUGACCGAGCAACGCCGCGUGAGUGAAGAAGGUUUUCGGAUCGUAAAACUCUGUUGGUAGAGAAGAACGUUGGUGAGAGUGGAAAGCUCAUCAAGUGACGGUAACUACCCAGAAAGGGACGGCUAACUACGUG